UUUUUAUGCAAUUCAUUACAACGACUUUGUUGAGUUUAUUAGCACUUUAAUUAUACUCUCAGUUAAUUACCAAUUACUUCGCCAAAAUGACUUUCAAAUCGUUGGCUCUUAUCUUAUUAGUCGCACUGUUGUCAAUUGUUGGAAUUGCUCAAGUUGCAGCGUGUCCAUGUGAAACAACAACCACGCAAGCUCCCAGUGAAUGUUCGACAACUCCUUCUUGCCCAUCAUAAGUAGAAGGAAAGUAGUGACGGAAAUAAUAAUGACGAUGAUCCCGUGAAUAAAAAUCAAGGAUCUGGCUCAGAUGUUUCGGCAAUUUUAUUAACUUUCAUUAUUUCCGCUUGGUCACCGCAUCCGUCGAUCUCUUCCUUUUCAAAACAACUCCAUGCAUAAUUUUACAUAAUUAAAAAUAGGAUUUUACUCGAUUUCUUUUUUUUGUAAAAUGAAUCUAACAUCAGCAUGUUCAAUAAAAAUUGCCAAUCUAAUAAA
This is a long non-coding RNA of Microplitis mediator, 486 nucleotides long. RefSeq lists it as uncharacterized. NCBI's taxonomy places the organism in Eukaryota, Metazoa, Arthropoda, Insecta, Hymenoptera, Braconidae. The record is from RefSeq and is a predicted model, not a curated record. The transcript is spliced from 4 exons.